This 253-nucleotide ribosomal RNA is filed under the name uncultured bacterium. RNAcentral's name for it is "partial 16S ribosomal RNA". It matches the Rfam family "Bacterial small subunit ribosomal RNA", at positions 524 to 776 of the family's 1533-position model. The record is from RNAcentral.
UACAGAGGGUGCAAGCGUUAAUCGGAAUUACUGGGCGUAAAGCGUGCGUAGACGGUUAUGUAAGUCAGGUGUGAAAGCCCCGGGCUCAACCUGGGAAUGGCAUUUGGGACUGUAAGGCUGGAGUAUGGCAGAGGAGACUAGAAUUCCUGGUGUAGCAGUGAAAUGCGUAGAUAUCAGGAGGAAUACCGAUGGCGAAGGCAGGUCUCUGGGCCAAUACUGACGCUCAUGCACGAAAGCGUGGGGAGCAAACAGG